Molecule: long non-coding RNA, 937 nt
Organism: Astatotilapia calliptera (eastern happy)
Lineage: Eukaryota; Metazoa; Chordata; Actinopteri; Cichliformes; Cichlidae
Source: Ensembl
CUUUUUUGUUUUUUAUGCCUAAAAUGUUGUUUUGUGUUAAACUCCGUGUUUGAACGUUUAAAGCGCUGCUGUCCCGCUGUAUGAAUGCGUUUCAACUGAACAGCCAGGUCUAUAUAUAAGGUCGGUUUCUUUGUAACGUCACCAGUCAAAGGACUGGCCCGGCUCGUCAUAACGAAAGGGGGCGGGACAAAUCUGUUGCUUAGCAACUGAAAAAAAGGCACACCGCGCUGAAUGCUACAUCCGUCCUGCGACGGUACACCGCCUCCGCACCACCGAUUAAACAUGAAGUGUGGAUGUUAGAAGAUCCCAAAUAUGUCAGGACCCAGAUGAACCUGUGCUGGAAUUCAGUGUGGGCUUUCUACUUACAGGGUGGUGGUUCUCAGAGGACAAUUGCUACCCCUGUUGAAGUGAACAACGUGUGGAGUGCAACUGGCUUUGUGGCAUAGCUGGCUCUGGCCUUGGACUGUGUGUUUUUACUUUGUACCUAAAUGGGACACUGGACUUUUAACUAUUAUUCAUUGUGUUUAUAAAUAAAAUUUUAGAAUUUUAUUGACUGUCAUCUUUUUGCCCACGGCGGAGACGGUUGGUCAGACCUAGAAUCUCUUUAUGUGUGUGUGUGUGUAACAUCAGCAGGGUUUCGCAUAAAAGAGUGUGAGCAGGUCAAAAGGUCAAUUCAUUUAUUGUAGUUUUAUGGCAGCACCUUCUAGUGGCCUUGAAGCAAACAGUCUCCUAACUAAGCCAUGGCAUCUCCGGUCUCUCCUACUUUUGUGUGCUGUGCUGGAGGAGCAGCAUUGGAUCUAGUGAUACUGAGUAAGCUGAUUAGGACCGGCCUGGAGAAAUGUGGUUUGCAUGAAGUAUCAGGAGAAAAACAACCUUGUAUUGUAAAAUAAUAAUACACGAAUAAUAAAUACUUUUCAUGACAUUCAGAUUUCUGGAC